CGUAGGGUGCGAGCGUUAAUCGGAAUUACUGGGCGUAAAGCGUGCGCAGGCGGUUCGUUGUGUCGGUGGUGAAAUCCCCGGGCUCAACCUGGGAAUUGCAUUUGUGACUGCCCGACUAGAGUGUGUCAGAGGGGGGUAGAAUUCCACGUGUAGCAGUGAAAUGCGUAGAGAUGUGGAGGAAUACCGAUGGCGAAGGCAGCCCCCUGGGAUAACACUGACGCUCAUGCACGAAAGCGUGGGGAGCAAACAGG
This 251-nucleotide ribosomal RNA is filed under the name uncultured bacterium. RNAcentral's name for it is "partial 16S ribosomal RNA". It matches the Rfam family "Bacterial small subunit ribosomal RNA", at positions 526 to 776 of the family's 1533-position model. The record is from RNAcentral.